RNAcentral lists this transfer RNA (71 nucleotides) under Marmota monax (woodchuck). RNAcentral's name for it is "tRNA.Ala". It matches the Rfam family "tRNA". Rfam says of the family: Transfer RNA (tRNA) molecules are approximately 80 nucleotides in length. The record is from RNAcentral. Lineage: Eukaryota; Metazoa; Chordata; Mammalia; Rodentia; Sciuridae.
GGGGUUGUGGCUCAGUGGUAGAGCGCUUGCCUAGCAUGCGUGAGGCCCUGGGUUCGAUCCCCAGCACCACA